GACGAACCGUCCGAACGUUAUUCGGAAUUACUGGGCUUAAAGGGUGCGUAGGCGGCCUUGUAAGUCAGGUGUGAAAUCCCACAGCUCAACUGUGGAACUGCGCUUGAAACUACAAGGCUUGAGGGAGAUAGAGGUGAGCGGAACUGAUGGUGGAGCGGUGAAAUGCGUUGAUAUCAUCAGGAACACCUGCGGCGAAGGCGGCUCACUGGAUCUCUUCUGACGCUCAGGCACGAAAGCUAGGGGAGCGAACGGG
RNAcentral lists this ribosomal RNA (253 nucleotides) under uncultured bacterium. RNAcentral describes it as "partial 16S ribosomal RNA". It matches the Rfam family "Bacterial small subunit ribosomal RNA", at positions 524 to 776 of the family's 1533-position model. The record is from RNAcentral.